RNAcentral lists this ribosomal RNA (1457 nucleotides) under Salmonella enterica subsp. enterica serovar Ekotedo. RNAcentral describes it as "bacterial SSU rRNA". It matches the Rfam family "Bacterial small subunit ribosomal RNA". The record is from RNAcentral. Lineage: Bacteria; Pseudomonadati; Pseudomonadota; Gammaproteobacteria; Enterobacterales; Enterobacteriaceae.
UGACGAGUGGCGGACGGGUGAGUAAUGUCUGGGAAACUGCCUGAUGGAGGGGGAUAACUACUGGAAACGGUGGCUAAUACCGCAUAACGUCGCAAGACCAAAGAGGGGGACCUUCGGGCCUCUUGCCAUCAGAUGUGCCCAGAUGGGAUUAGCUAGUUGGUGAGGUAACGGCUCACCAAGGCGACGAUCCCUAGCUGGUCUGAGAGGAUGACCAGCCACACUGGAACUGAGACACGGUCCAGACUCCUACGGGAGGCAGCAGUGGGGAAUAUUGCACAAUGGGCGCAAGCCUGAUGCAGCCAUGCCGCGUGUAUGAAGAAGGCCUUCGGGUUGUAAAGUACUUUCAGCGGGGAGGAAGGUGUUGUGGUUAAUAACCGCAGCAAUUGACGUUACCCGCAGAAGAAGCACCGGCUAACUCCGUGCCAGCAGCCGCGGUAAUACGGAGGGUGCAAGCGUUAAUCGGAAUUACUGGGCGUAAAGCGCACGCAGGCGGUCUGUCAAGUCGGAUGUGAAAUCCCCGGGCUCAACCUGGGAACUGCAUUCGAAACUGGCAGGCUUGAGUCUUGUAGAGGGGGGUAGAAUUCCAGGUGUAGCGGUGAAAUGCGUAGAGAUCUGGAGGAAUACCGGUGGCGAAGGCGGCCCCCUGGACAAAGACUGACGCUCAGGUGCGAAAGCGUGGGGAGCAAACAGGAUUAGAUACCCUGGUAGUCCACGCCGUAAACGAUGUCUACUUGGAGGUUGUGCCCUUGAGGCGUGGCUUCCGGAGCUAACGCGUUAAGUAGACCGCCUGGGGAGUACGGCCGCAAGGUUAAAACUCAAAUGAAUUGACGGGGGCCCGCACAAGCGGUGGAGCAUGUGGUUUAAUUCGAUGCAACGCGAAGAACCUUACCUGGUCUUGACAUCCACGGAAGUUUUCAGAGAUGGAAUGGUGCCUUCGGGAACCGUGAGACAGGUGCUGCAUGGCUGUCGUCAGCUCGUGUUGUGAAAUGUUGGGUUAAGUCCCGCAACGAGCGCAACCCUUAUCCUUUGUUGCCAGCGAUUAGGUCGGGAACUCAAAGGAGACUGCCAGUGAUAAACUGGAGGAAGGUGGGGAUGACGUCAAGUCAUCAUGGCCCUUACGACCAGGGCUACACACGUGCUACAAUGGCGCAUACAAAGAGAAGCGACCUCGCGAGAGCAAGCGGACCUCAUAAAGUGCGUCGUAGUCCGGAUUGGAGUCUGCAACUCGACUCCAUGAAGUCGGAAUCGCUAGUAAUCGUGGAUCAGAAUGCCACGGUGAAUACGUUCCCGGGCCUUGUACACACCGCCCGUCACACCAUGGGAGUGGGUUGCAAAAGAAGUAGGUAGCUUAACCUUCGGGAGGGCGCUUACCACUUUGUGAUUCAUGACUGGGGUGAAGUCGUAACAAGGUAACCGUAGGGGAACCUGCGGUUGGAUCACCUCCUUACCUUAAAGAA